RNAcentral lists this ribosomal RNA (775 nucleotides) under uncultured Neocallimastigales. RNAcentral describes it as "partial large subunit ribosomal RNA". It matches the Rfam family "Eukaryotic large subunit ribosomal RNA", at positions 26 to 627 of the family's 3401-position model. The record is from RNAcentral. Lineage: Eukaryota; Fungi; Neocallimastigomycota; Neocallimastigomycetes; Neocallimastigales.
CGUCUAUAUACGUAUAGCAUAUCAAUAAGCGGAGGAAAAGAAACUAACUAGGAUUCCCUCAGUAACGGCGAGUGAAGCGGGAAGAGCUCAAAUUUGAAAUCUUCAAGGUUCUACCUUGACGAAUUGUAGUUUAAAGAAGUGUUUUCUGUUGGAGUUUUGGUAAAAGUUCUUUGGAAUAGGACAUCAUAGAGGGUGAGAAUCCCGUAUUUGACCAUUAUUUCCAACUUUGUGAUACACUUUCAAAGAGUCGGAUUGUUUGGGAAUGCAGUCCAAAAUGGGUGGUAAAUUUCAUCUAAAGCUAAAUACUGGCGAGAGACCGAUAGCGAACAAGUACCGUGAGGGAAAGAUGAAAAGAACUUUGAAAAGAGAGUUAAACAGUACGUGAAAUUAUCAAAAGGGAAGCGUUUGACACCAGUGUUGUUUUCUCGAAAAUCAAUUAAAAAUGGCGGAUUUUGUGUUGUAUUGACUUUAUCAGCUUUCUGCACUUUUUUCCUUAUCUUUUUUAAUGCACUUUUCGUUUAACAAGUCAACAUCAAUUUCUUUUGUUGUAAAAGGGUCAUUGGAAGGUGGCUUUCUUUUCGGAGAAAGUGUUUAUAGCCUUUGGACUUCUGCAAUCGGAGAGAUUGAGGUCUGCAGCGUAGAUCCUUCGGGGUUAGAUGCAUUUGUGCUAAGUUAUAGCCUUUCAUAGACAACUUGUUGACUAUGAUCAGUCAUGUAGCUUACUCGCUUAUGUUAUUUUACCUACGCUUAGGAUGUUGACGAUCAGCUGAGCGCG